Molecule: long non-coding RNA, 1553 nt
Organism: Piliocolobus tephrosceles (Ugandan red Colobus)
Lineage: Eukaryota; Metazoa; Chordata; Mammalia; Primates; Cercopithecidae
Source: Ensembl
CUUAUUUAGUAUAUAUAUAUAUAUAUAUAUAUAUAUAUAUUGAUAUGUGCAUUUGUACAAUUGCCUUAUAGGACUCUAGUUGAUACAUUCACUUUGAUAUAGCAUGUGUAUAUGUUUUCGUUAGUAUCACAUAUCGCACAACUAAAUUUAUAUAUAUUUAUGUAGAUACAAUUCUCUCCGCCUGUUUAAAUGAAAAGUUCUACAUAUUUUAAAAAUGAUAGAAAAUGUGGUAAGGAAAUGUGUAAUUCAUCACCUAAUAAUUACGAUAGUGAUGUAAUCGAAAUUGUAAGCAUAAAUGAUAGUGAUGUUUCUUGUCAUGACACGAAUGAUUCAAACAAAAUCAAUAGCACAACAAAAGAUGUAAAAAACAGCAGCUCAUCUGAACAAUUAGACAGUGAAAUUGAAAUCAUCGAAGAUAUUAAUCAGUACAAUUAUGAAAAAGUAAAAGAGGCUAGAUUAAAAAUGUUCGAGCGAUCCAAUAAGAAAGCCGAAUUUGUAAGAGGAGAAGGAGUUUUUUUCGAAUAUUAUUUAGGGUGUAUUGAUACUGAUUCUAUAAUUCUAUCUAGUGAAGUGUGUGAAAUAAACAACGAAAAGGAUAUAACAAUUUGCUAUGAAAUAUCCCCCAAAUCAACUAAACGUUCAUUUAGCCCUAUGUAUAAUUUAAAAAUAAAUAACCAUUAUGUUGCUUGUAAUGAUUACAUACGUAUUAUAGGUAGAAAUGUACCAACUAAUAAAAAUAAAGUAAAAAAAAAAAAAGUAAUAAAAAGCAGAACAGGAAAAAAUGAAAAUACAAAUAGUAAUAAUAAUAAUAAUAAUAGUGAGUAUUCCGAAGUAGAAUAUGGAAGCAAUCAAAUAAUAUCAUUAGACAAAAAAUUUGUUGAAUUUGACAAGCAUAAAGGAGAGGUAUUAAAAGACAUAAAUGAAGGUUAUUCAUGUAUUCGAAUUAAACACAAUAAUAGAGACGUGUCUAAACUGAAAAAUCAAAUGUCGAAAAUGUUAUGUGUUUUGUUAGUAUUAAACGCAAUAAAAGUAGAAAUAAGCAUAAAAAAAAUACCUACAUGGGAGUUGAAAUUUGGUGGUAGUCUAAAAACCUUUGUUCAUGUAAUUUUAUAUCCAGAUUGUUUCAAAAUAGAUACACACAAAUAUCAAGAAUAUAAUUCAUUAAUUAAAUUUAGCGUUGAUAAUUUAUUUAAAGAGUUAAAACUAAUUCCUUUAAGAUUCGCGAAGGUCUUAGAUAUGCAUUUACCACACACUAUGAUAACUGCUGCUGGUAACAUUGCUACUACUACUACGACUACUAUUAUGGACCAAAAUAAUAUAACAUUUUUUAACGAAGACACUAGUCCAAUUAAAACGAAUCAAUUUAGUUAUAAUAAAAAGGACAGGGUUGGAGGUAAUGAUGAAGGAAAGGAUGCUUCUCCUUUUUUUUGUACACCGCACAAGGCUUUAAAUGUGAAUAACGGUACACCUAAAAAGGAUUGCCUCGGUAGGGUUAUUGGACACGUAUUUAUUUAUGUGUGUGUGUAUAUAUAUAUAUGUACAUGCAUUUAUGU